GACGAACGCUGGCGGCGUGCUUAACACAUGCAAGUCGAACGGAAAGGCCCUGCUUUUGUGGGGUGCUCGAGUGGCGAACGGGUGAGUAACACGUGAGUAACCUGCCCUUGACUUUGGGAUAACUUCAGGAAACUGGGGCUAAUACCGGAUAGGAGCUCCUGCUGCAUGGUGGGGGUUGGAAAGUUUCGGCGGUUGGGGAUGGACUCGCGGCUUAUCAGCUUGUUGGUGGGGUAGUGGCUUACCAAGGCUUUGACGGGUAGCCGGCCUGAGAGGGUGACCGGCCACAUUGGGACUGCGAUACGGCCCAGACUCCUACGGGAGGCAGCAGUGAGGAAUAUUGCACAAUGGGCGGAAGCCUGAUGCAGCAACGCCGCGUGCGGGAUGACGGCCUUCGGAUUGUAAACCGCUUUCGCCUGUGACGAAGCGUGAGUGACGGUAAUGGGUAAAGAAGCACCGGCUAACUACGUG
Molecule: ribosomal RNA, 468 nt
Filed under: uncultured bacterium
Lineage: Bacteria
Description: partial 16S ribosomal RNA
Rfam family: Bacterial small subunit ribosomal RNA
Source: RNAcentral